CGGUGGCCUAGUGUUUAAAGCGUCCGCCUCGGAUGCGGGAGGUCGAGAGUUAGAUCCUGGCCAGGUCGU
This is a non-coding RNA of Potamilus streckersoni, 69 nucleotides long. The record is from the annotation of a GenBank genome assembly. Lineage: Eukaryota; Metazoa; Mollusca; Bivalvia; Unionida; Unionidae.